GAUGAGCUUGCCGAGGAUCCUCUCGUGAAAAUAGAGGUAGAAGCGGUGCCACGGAAAGAAGAGCCAUGAGAAGUGGAUCUGCAGGUCCAAGUUCUCGAACCCCACCUGAUUGUAUGCGCCGUCGCAGUAGGCGCAGUGAACCCUUGCCUGCUGGCUGAAGCUACGGGGAUCGGUAGGCUCGAGUAGGGGGGGUGUUGAACCGCCGGAG
RNAcentral lists this unclassified non-coding RNA (208 nucleotides) under Hevea brasiliensis (rubber tree). The record is from RNAcentral. Lineage: Eukaryota; Viridiplantae; Streptophyta; Magnoliopsida; Malpighiales; Euphorbiaceae.